This is a long non-coding RNA of Diprion similis, 206 nucleotides long. RefSeq lists it as uncharacterized. The transcript has 3 exons. Lineage: Eukaryota; Metazoa; Arthropoda; Insecta; Hymenoptera; Diprionidae. The record is from RefSeq and is a predicted model, not a curated record.
UCUUUCCCACUCGCCGCUCUUCGGAUAUGGUAUCGUUAAUUAAAUCUUCGGUACGCUAACUUUGUUCACGUCCAUGUGUUCGUUGAUGGUUUAAACGCCAGAGAAAUUAUUGACGGUAUCAUCGAGGGAAUAGCUACGUGAUGCGAGUGACAUAGUUUUUUCGCUCUCACUCCCCCUUAAGUAUAAAAAAAGAAACCAUCGUGCAU